RNAcentral lists this unclassified non-coding RNA (244 nucleotides) under plant metagenome. RNAcentral describes it as "partial contains small subunit ribosomal RNA, internal transcribed spacer 1, and 5.8S ribosomal RNA". The record is from RNAcentral.
UCUCCGUUGGUGAACCAGCGGAGGGAUCAUUACCGAGUUUACAAUUCCCAAACCCAAUGUGAACCAUACCAAACUGUUGCCUCGGCGGGGUCACGCCCCGGGUGCGUCGCAGCCCCGGAACCAGGCGCCCGCCGGAGGGACCAACCAAACUCUUUCUGUAGUCCCCUCGCGGACGUUAUUUUUACAGCUCUGAGCAAAAAUUCAAAAUGAAUCAAAACUUUCAACAACGGAUCUCUUGGUUCUG